AGCAGCGCAGGGAGCAGCGGGAGUCCAGCCGGAGGCUUUUCAACAGGUGAUGCUGUCCAAACCCGACUGACUGCGGAUCCGCGAAACACGAAUGGAUCCCUAUUUAAGACGGAGCUGGAGAAGGCUUUUUCACUUAUUAUCUUUGUAUUUUGUCCUAAUAUAUCAAGCGCAUCUGUCCUGGGGUGUUGAGAGAGUGAACCUUUCUAACAGGGAGGAAUUUAAUAACAGCGGGAGCAGCAGGAUAAAGCAGCAGAAAUGGGACACCGCUUCCCAGGGAGGGCAGGACCUCCAGACAGGAGCUGCUGCGUUAGAAGCCAACAUGUCUUCCUCCAGUCAUUCACCGGUCAGCAGGACUGCUGCGUCCAACCUGACGUCCAACCCCGUGUCCUCCAGCACAGAGAGGACACCGACCUCCUCAUGGACCGUCAGCUCUGACCAAUCAUCCACAACCACAGCAACAUCCAGUCAAACACCAGCAAGAACAGAAACAUCCAGCCAAUCACCAAGCAGCACAGAACAAGACAGCCAAUCACCAGGCAGUACAGCACCAGCCAGCCAAUCAGCAACCAAGACAGCACAAUCCAACCAAUCACAAACCAGCCCAGGAUCAGCUAGCCAAUCGCAAGGAAGCACGACACAAACCAGCCAAUCAUCAGGACGCACAACACAAACCAGCCAAUCUCCAACCACUACAGCACAAACCAGCCAAUUAACCAGCAGUUCAACACAAAGUAGCCGAUCUUCAACCAUCACAACACCAGAUAGCCCAACAUCAUAUAGCCCAGCAACAUCCAGUCAAUCACCAUCUAUCACAGCAUCAGCCAGCCAAUCAACAGGCAGCACAACACACACCAGCCAAUCACCAGAACGUACAACACACACCAGCAAAUCACCUGAGCGCACAACACAAACCAGUCAAUCAUCAGGACGUAUAACACAAACUAGCCAAUCUCGAACCACCACAAAACAAGUCAGCCAACCAUCAGCUAGCCCAGUACAAGCUAACCAAUCGCAAGCCAAUGAAGCACAAUCUGUUCAGUCGCCGACAAAUGCAGGACUUCCUAGCCAAUCACCAACCAUCACAGGUUCAGCCAGCCAAUCAACAAGUAGAACAACACCAUCCAGCCAUUCACCAACAAGCACACCAAAAUCCAGCCAAUCACCAACCAAUGUACAACCAAUGUAUAACCACUCACCACCCACAUUAAUAGCAGCUAAUCAAUCCAAAAACAGCUCAAAAACUUCACUCCACGUAUCAUCCAGUUUAACAUCACAUAUCCAGUCAAAUUCACCACCAUCUGACCAAUCCCUGACCAGUGCAGUACCAUCAAACCAAUCAUCAACUGGUUCAGUGUCACCAGCCAACUCAGUUAGUGGAGUCUUUUCACCAGAUGAGCAUCCAGUUAAUAUUUCACAGCUCACCAGGCAGGCGAAGGAAGCCUUGAAGUCAUCGCUUCGUAGGACUCCAGCGGAGCCAUGUGUGUUUCCCUGCCUGAACGGAGGACAGUGUGUUCAGUCUGAGUCAUGUGACUGCAGCUUGUAUCAGGCCAAUGGACACAGAUGUCAGACAGUUCCAAAUCCUGGCUUCGAGAGGGAGAUGACAUGCAGGACGUGGGGCCAGUACAACUUUGAGACCUUUGACGGCCUCUACUACCACUUCCCCGGUCGGUGCACAUACACUCUGCUGAGGGACUGUGAAGAAACCACCCAGGCCAGCAUCGUCGUCCAGGUCCACAACGACCCGGGCUGCAGCUCCGCCCCCUACACCUGCCAACGAUCCGUCAGCCUCUUCCUCCCGUGGGAGGGUGAGGUUCGGCUGCACGCCACCAAUGUGACCUUCAAAGGCCAAAGUUUGCAGCUGCCUCAUCACAUCCAUGACCUGCAGCUGGAGCACAUCUCACAGUACGUUCUGGUGACGCAGCAGCACGGCUUCACACUGGCCUGGGAGGGACGCAGCGGCUCCGUUUAUAUCAAACUCAGCCCUGAGUUUGUGGGCAGAACCUGCGGCCUGUGUGGGAACUUCAACGCAGACGUCCAGGAUGACCUGAAGACGAGUUAUGGUGUGCUGACUCAUGACAUAGAAAUGUUCGGGAAUAGCUGGGUGGAGGCGGAUCCACACGAGGCCCGAUGUCCCAUGGUGCCUUCUGACUUCCCCUCACCAUGUGCUGCAGUGGAAAAAGUGGAGGAGGUGUGUGCGAUGCUGCUGGAUCCCCCAUUUCAGAGCUGCCACGACUUCGUCAGCCCGCUGUCCUACAUGGCCAGCUGCUCCAACGACCUCUGCAUGUCGGGUCCCAGCGGUGAUGUGGUAUGCCAGGUGUUCAGCGAGUAUGCCCGGGCCUGCGCCCAUGCUGACCACCCACUGCACGAUUGGAGGCAGCACAUUCCUCACUGUCUUCAGUACAGGGAAUGCAUCAGCUGCUGCCCAGCGUCAUGCAACCUGGAGCGAACAUGCAUCGACAGCAAGCUGGCCUGCCUGGACGGAUGCUACUGUCCCGAUGGUCUAAUCUACGAGGACGGAGGCUGUGUGACACCCUCUGACUGUCCCUGUGAGUACCAUGGCAUGUUUUAUCCGUCUGGACAGACGCUGCAGGAGGAAUGCAACAACUGCACAUGUGUGGGUGGAGUGUGGAACUGUACAGACUACAGCUGCCCAGGCGAGUGCUCAGUGACCGGUGACAUGUAUUUUCAAUCUUUUGACGGACGGAUCUUCACCUUCCCCGCAACCUGUCAGUACGUCCUCGCCAAAAGUCGCAGCUCAGGGAAGUUCACGGUCACCAUCCAGAACGCCCCCUGUGGAGCGAAUUUGGAUGGGGCCUGCAUCCAAUCAGUUAACCUGGUUAUUGACGAGGAUCCAAGGACGGAGAUUACAUUGAGCCACGUCGGAGAGGUCUUCAUGGCUGGACAGUACCGCAUCUCCCUGCCGUAUUCUGACGACAUCUUCCACAUCCAGGAGCUGUCGUCCAUGUUCCUCCAGGUGAAGACGGCAUUCGGCCUGCGUCUGCAGUACAGCUGGAAGGAGUUUCGACUCUACCUGCAGGCUGAGGAGCUGUGGAAGGAUGACACAGUGGGCCUGUGCGGCACCUUCAAUGGCAACAUUCAAGAUGACUUCCUGUCUCCGUCAGGUAUGAUAGAAAGCACUCCUCAGCUGUUUGGAAAUGCCUGGCGGGUCUCGUCAGCAUGUUCACCUAGCUUGAGUAUGCCUCAGCUCGACCCCUGUGACACACACCAGCAGGCCGUGGCCUAUGCCUCAGAGAUGUGUGACGUACUGAACCAGGAUCUGUUCUCUGCCUGCCACGAGUACCUCAGCCCGACAAGUUUCCACCAGCAGUGUCGCUCAGACACCUGUAAGUGCGGGACGCCUUGCCUCUGCUCUGCGCUGGCCCACUACGCUCACCACUGCCGCAGAUUCUCUGUCAUCAUUGACUUUCGAUCGCAGAUAUCGGACUGUGGGGUCGACUGUCCUGCCACCAUGCAGUAUGGCACCUGCGUGUCAUCCUGCCAGCGCCGUUGCUCCGCCCUCUCCGUCCCGCAGCACUGUGGGGAGGAGUGUGAGGAGGGCUGCGUCUGCCCUCUGGGAUCCUUCUACAACCACCGCACACACACCUGUGUGCACAGGAGCGAGUGUCCCUGCAGUUUCCUUGGGGCAGAUUAUGAACCGGGAGAUGUGAUCAUGACGUCAGCAGCACCUUCCUCUUCUCCUCUUACAGACAGGCUGUGUCCAGCUGGUCAGCUCUACCAGAACUGCUCAGAGGGGGACGAUGGCCUCCUGUCUGGAAGGGGUGUGGCCUGCGAGCACACCUGUGAGUCCUACCUGCUCAACCUCACCUGCUCGACACAUGAGCCCUGCGUGGCUGGAUGUACCUGCCCUCCUGGCUUGUUAAAACAUGGAGACGAGUGCUUUGAACCUGCAUCCUGCCCCUGUCUAUGGAAAGGGAAGGAGUACUACCCCGGUGACAGAGUGUCCUCCCCCUGCCAUCAGUGUGUUUGCCAGCACGGGACGUUCCAGUGUGUAUUUCAUCCGUGUCCGUCAAUGUGCAUGGCUUACGGUGAUCGCCACUACAGGACAUUUGAUGGGCUGCUGUUUGACUACGUUGGUGCAUGCAAAGUCUAUCUUGUAAAGAGCAGCUCUGAUGUGAUGCUCAGUGUAGCAACCGAGAAUGUUGACUGUUUAGACAGCGGAGUCAUCUGCAGGAAAUCUCUCCUGAUCAACAUUGGAAGAUCAUUCGUAGCAUUCGAUGAUGACACUGGAAAGCCGAAUCCAUCCAGUGUGAUUGACAGGAAGCAGCGGAUGUUCAUCUGGCCAGCUGGAUACUUCACAGUGGUUCAUUUCCCAGAGGAAGAUGUCACCGUCCUUUGGGACCGUAAGACCACCGUCCACGUCCAGGUCGGACCUCGCUGGCAGGGAAAGCUAAGCGGCCUGUGUGGGAAUUUUGACAUGAAGACGGUGAACGAGAUGAGGACCCCCGACAACAUCGACUCCGCAACUCCACAGGAGUUUGGAAACAGCUGGACUGCAGCAGAGUGUGUGAACAGUCCUGAUAUCAGACACCCCUGCAGCCUCAGUCCUCUCAGAGAGCCUUAUGCGAAGCGUCGGUGUGCCGUCCUGCUUGGGGAGGUCUUCCAGGCCUGCCACCCAGUGGUGGAUGUUACCUGGUUCUACAUGAAUUGUUUGGCAGACACGUGUGGUUGCAGUCGUGGAGGCGACUGUGAGUGUUUCUGCACCAGUGUGGCGGCAUACGCUCAACGCUGCUGCCACCAGGGUGUUCCUGUCGACUGGCGAGCUCCGUCUCUGUGCCUUCUGGGUAAAGGUCCCUUCAGGCUGAUCACCUUCAGGGAUCGGACGACACUGUUAGCAGCCAGCAGUUCCAGUGGCUCUGUGUUCCUGCAGCGGGGCAACCUCAGCGCCACUGCCACCCCGAGAGUUCUCUCACAGUUCAUGAUGACACCGGGCCUCAGCAGAGCCCGACCACACGACACAUCGAGGGUUUCUUUCGAGGCAGCCGAGAGACCAAACUAUUUUCUGUACACGAGCCCCAGUGGUCAGGUGAGGCUGGCAAAGUGGGAGGACAGCGUGGCAUUCUGGGAUGGAGCCACCUUUGUCCUGCACAGGAACACCUGGAUCCCUGGCUACGACUCCCUGGAGUCCCACGCAAAACCCGGCUUCUUCCUGCACGCCACGCUGCCCCGCCUCCACCUGCUCAAAUACAGACACACUGACAGCUUCCGCAAGGCCACGCUGUUCAGACUGACAGAUGCCCCACCCGGUCCUCGGUGUCAGUGGAGGUACGAUUCCUGUGUCGUUCCCUGCUUCAAGACCUGCAGCGACCCGUCAGCUGAAGCCUGCAUCACCAUCCCACAAGUGGAAGGCUGCCUCCCUGUCUGCCCUCCACACAUGGUCCUGGAUGAGGUCACUCGUCGCUGUGUCUAUGUUGAAGACUGUAAGUUUCCCCUGAUUGAGUUCACUACAACCACAGAAUCAGUCGCACCGGUUGCACCUUUCACCAUCAGCAAAACAACACCGUACAUAAGUCCAGAGACAACAACACCACCUGUUACCACAGAGAGGAUUCUGCCCGUUACUCCCACUGAACCAACGUCUUCUACAACACCCGCUGCUGAGCUACAAACUUCACAGCCACUCCAUGUUGUACCGACUACAACUUCACCAUCUGCUCCUACCUCAGUUACUACACACUGGAGAACAACAACAAGGAAAGUGACCACACAUGAAUCCACUGUGUCUGAAAUACAUGUCGCUACCACAACAAUGGCUGUACCUCCACCUCUAGACAUUACAGACAGCACUACUGUUUCCCACUCCACAACCUAUUCAGAGAGAACUUCCUGGUCUGCUGCCGCCCCAUCAACAGAGACAAUCACCUCAAGACCCCCAGAGGUUCCAGAAACCUCCACCAUGCCCACGGGUCAUCCUGUCACACCUGUGUCUCUUACAGAUACCACCACUGUACCACUUUUACCAACAACAGAGAGCUCCACCCAUCCUGUAACAACCGAGAAGGCCUCUGCGCCAUGGCGUCCUCCCCAUCGGGAGACCUCCACCACCCUGGUCUACAGCCCGACAGUGAAAACUACACCAGAGGUCACUUCUGAAGCUGUCGUCCAUGUCAUCACUUCCACUAGAACUACUGAGGUGCCUCACCUUCCUGAAACAUCACAGCCAGUUGUGACCUCUUCGACAUCAGCUGCUGCUACAACUACUACUGCCAAAACUACAACCUCUGCUAAAAUCUCAACUGCAGAAAUUGCAGUCACUACAACCAGGACACUGGUUACACUGCCUCCUUCACCUGUACCUGGUAUUCCUGAGACACAUCUCACCACUGUCUCCACAAAAGCUCCACUAGAUGUUGACACCACCACUCUCAGACCUGUCAUUGUUCAGCCGAUUACAGGGACAACACAUCCAGUGACUGGCAGAGUGGAGGUGUCAACAAGAGCCACAACUACGCCGCCUCCAACUUGGUCUCAGUUGCACACAACCACUUCCACUGCAACUCCAAGGCCAACAACUGUACAGGACAAAGUCACCACCCGGCUGGUGUCCACUGCAAGAGCUACACCUUCUACAACAACUACAACCACCACACAGACGACCACCCUCAGAACGACACCCAGAGUUCCCGUGACAACAAGAGUCACUCCCAGAAUCACGUCGACUCAGAGAUCAACUGUCAGGCCAGUCUCCGCAAGGGUUACCAUAGCAACAAGGCCUCCAGCAGUGACGAUCACAUCAACCACUCCGGGCCCACCAACAGUCGCUCCAAGCCCUGGCACAGCAACCACGUUAGGAGUGCCACCUACUACCAAGUUGGUUACUACAGUGAGCCUGACUGAACACGCCGACACAACUGAAACAGUUUCUCGCCUGACCACCAUAACUGCUCCAGCACCCGUUCCUACUCUAACAACAGUUACGGCAUCUACAGCUGUCCCCACCAGAGAGUCAGCAACAUCUGAGAAAACCAUGACAACCAAAGAGACCGUCGUGUCACCGCUCACAUCCCAACCAGUGACGCCUCCACCAGAUACAAUGAUUUCCACCCAGAGGUCCACUGUUCCUACUGCCACUACAACUUCACUUCCAGCAGCCACCUCGGUCCAAACGACGGAGCAGGACAGAGUCGAUCACACGAGUGCAGGUGCAACAACGCCUCCUCCUCCGUAUGCAGAGAUAGUCGAUGAGUGCACAAAGUACAUCUGUGUCAAUAGCCAGCUCGUCCUGUUCAACAAAUCACAGAGCUGUCCCUUCACCGCCGACCCUCCCAACUGCGGCUUGCUUGGCUUUGCCAUUCUGGUCAAUGGAGACAAGUGCUGCCCGAAGUGGGACUGUCCAUGUCGCUGCUCGAUGUUUCCAGAUCUAAAUGUGAUCACAUUUGAUGGGAACAGCGUUGCAGUCUACAAAGCUGCCUCAUACAUAGUGACCCAACUGCCCAAUGAGACCGUCAGUGUCCUGGUUCAAGAGUGUCCAGCUAACUCUGAGUCACCACUCCUCUGGAAUUUCACCAACCUGUGUCUGGUGGCGCUCAACAUCACCCACAACUCCAAUCACAUCAUCAUCAACAGGCUGCAGAGGAGGCUCUAUGUCAAUUCACGGUACGCCAAACCUCGAUUUAAAAAGUUUGGAUUUGAGAUCUACGACACAGGCAACAUGUACCUGAUCCGCAGCCCGGCUGGUCUUAAGCUGCAGUGGUACCACAGUACCGGCAUGAUGGUGAUCGACACCGACAGCUCCAGCACCAAGCUCCACACCAAGGGCCUCUGUGGAUUCUGUGACGGAGACCCGACAAAUGACCUGACUUUGGCCAAUGGCACCACAGUGGGCGCAAGUGAGGAUCCGGCUAUUUUCAUCGACAGCUGGCAGGUUCCCAACACCACCAGCUACAUCAGCCACAGCCGCCGCAGAGAACGCAACUGCUCCACAAGCGACUGCUCCACCUGCCUGGUCAUGCUGCAGAACCCUGCCUUCACGCCCUGCCACGCCUUUGUCCCACCGAGCACAUUCUGUGAGGUUUGGGUACGAGAUGAAGAGUACGUCAACAACCAGUGUGUGGCGCUGGCUGCCUACGUGGCAUCUUGCCACAAAUUCAACAUCUGCAUUGAGUGGAGGCGUCCAGAUUACUGCCCCUUUGUGUGUUCCGACACUCUGCGGUAUCAGGCCUGUCUGCCGGCCUGCACGUCUCAGUCCUGCCCCAACCAUGACUUCGACUCUGACCCAGAUCAGUGUUCAGGCCUGACGGAGGGCUGCGUGUGCCCUGAGGGAACGCUCCUCCACCGGCCGUACUCCGCCCUCUGCAUCUCACCUGAGAAGUGUGCUUGCACUGACAGCUCUGGUGCUCCCCGUGCACACGGCGAGGUUUGGAAAGCCUCAAAGGACGCCUGCUGCAUGUACCGCUGCGACAACGACACCAUCGUCCCAGUGGAGUACAACUGCUCCAACAUUGCGGAGCCAGUGUGCCAUCGAGUUGGGGAAGUGAUUAUCAGCCUGGCUGACGAUGCCAGCUGCUGCCCGCAGAGAGUCUGCGUGUGUAACCAGAGCUUGUGUGACCUGCUGCCUCCUGAGUGUAAAUAUGGGGAGAAGCUGGUGUCGUACUACAGACAGGACUCCUGCUGUCCCGACUAUGUGUGUGAGUGUGAUCCUGACCUCUGUGAAUCAGACGUUCCCUCCUGCAGAGACGACCAGACUCUGAUCGCCACCAGAGCUGAUGGCAGCUGCUGUCUCGCACACAUCUGCAUGUGUUCGUCCUGUCCGGUGUCGCCUCCUCUCUGCGUUGACGGCGAGGUGCUGACGGUGGACAGUAACACCACAGACCGCUGCUGCCCCACCUACCAGUGUGUGUGUGAGCCCUACAGGUGUCCCCAGCUUGGUUGUCCUGUUGGGAUGUCGGUGAUGUCUGUAUCAAGUCCGGGUCGCUGCUGUCCCAACCAAACAUGUGUGCGCGAGGCGGUGUGUGUGUUAGGCGAGCGAGGUGUGUUGCGGCCCGGACAGACGCUGGUGGAACACGAUGACGACGGCUUGUGUCACAGCAGGCAGUGCAGCCGCAGCCUCGACCUGGCGAGCGGCUUCCACCUGCUCCGCACCAGCAGCAUCAACUGCUCCGCCCACUGCCAACCAAAUCAGAUCUACGUCCCUCCGAAGGAUCAGUCUACAUGCUGCGGUGUGUGUAAGAAUAUUUCCUGCCUCUAUGAACACGAGAACGGGACAACAGUUCUCUAUAAGCCUGGGAAGUCCUGGGUAUCAAACUGCAUGAAGUUCGACUGCACAGACACUCUAUCUGGACCCACGCUCAUCUCCUACACCUUCAGCUGCCCACCAUUCAACGAAACAGAGUGUAUGAAGGUCAGCAUCGGUGGAACUGUCGUAAGUUACAUGGAGGGAUGCUGUAAGACGUGCAAAGAAGAUGGGAAGUCAUGCCAGAAGGUGACGGUGAGGAUGACUAUAAGGAAGAACGACUGUCGAAGCAACAGACCGGUGAACAUCGUGUCAUGUGACGGGAAGUGUCCGUCUGCCAGCAUCUACAACUACAACAUCAACACGUACGCUCGCUUCUGCAAGUGCUGCAGGGAGACGGGGCUGCAGCGGCGCUCCGUACAGCUCUACUGCAGCGGUAACGCCACCUGGGUCAGCUACACCAUCCAGGAGCCCACCGACUGCUCCUGCCAGUGGUCCUGAACACACACACACACACACACACACACACACACAGUAUUCAGAUCUACAUCCUCUAAAACCACGAGAGAUAGAAGAAGAGGGAGAAGAAACCACAGCCAUGUUGCUAUAGGAUGCUGGGAGAGUGAAGUACUGAGCUGUGAUUUCCAGGGCUGAAUGACUUUUAUUAGUUAGAUGUCCCGGUGCCUCUGCUGGCUGGGAGGAGGUACUGCAUAGCAGCGAGGCAGGACUUACUCCUCCGCAGGCAGAAUCAAUCUAUAGGAGACCGUAAGGUGACCCUUGACAUCUGAUUUUCCCCUUCACACUGAAGCAGAUAGGGUGCGACAAAAUUAAGUGUGGCCCACUUGACACCACAUGAUGAGUUUUAUUAUAUAUGUCAUUUCAGAGAAUUGUGAUUUUGACAUUGACAUCUUUUUGUUUUUCAUACAUUCAUACAUGCCACAGUUUAGUAAGUAAACACCUUCGUGAUCUUUUUCAUAACUCUACAUAUGAAAUUCAUGGAUUGAAGAUGUGUAAAGAAGAACCAAACACCCAAAGAAAAAUAAAACAACAUCAACAAAAUAAACA
This 10255-nucleotide long non-coding RNA is filed under the name Sparus aurata (gilthead seabream). RNAcentral describes it as "lncRNA (ENSSAUG00010012902.1)". Lineage: Eukaryota; Metazoa; Chordata; Actinopteri; Spariformes; Sparidae. The record is from RNAcentral.